RNAcentral lists this ribosomal RNA (513 nucleotides) under uncultured bacterium. Its description in RNAcentral is "partial 16S ribosomal RNA". It matches the Rfam family "Bacterial small subunit ribosomal RNA", at positions 28 to 523 of the family's 1533-position model. The record is from RNAcentral.
GACGAACGCUGGCGGCGUGCCUAAUACAUGCAAGUAGAACGCUGACUACUUUAGCUUGCUAGAGUAGAAGGAGUUGCGAACGGGUGAGUAACGCGUAGGUAACCUGCCUACUAGCGGGGGAUAACUAUUGGAAACGAUAGCUAAUACCGCAUAACAGUGUUUGACACAUGUUAGAUGCUUGAAAGAUGCAAUUGCAUCACUAGUAGAUGGACCUGCGUUGUAUUAGCUAGUUGGUGGGGUAACGGCCCACCAAGGCGACGAUACAUAGCCGACCUGUGAGGGUGAGCGGCCACACUGGGACUGAGACACGGCCCAGACUCCAACGGGAGGAAGCAGUAGGGAAUCUUCGGCAAUGGGGGCAACCCUGACCGAGCAACGCCGCGUGAGUGAAGAAGGUUUUCGGAUCGUAAAGCUCUGUUGUAAGAGAAGAACGUGCGUGAGAGUGGAAAGUUCACACAGUGACGGUAACUUACCAGAAAGGGACGGCUAACUACGUGCCAGCAGCCGCAGUAA